CAAGGCAGACGGCUCAGUAACGCGUAGUCAAUCUACCCUAUGGACGGGAAUAACCUCGGGAAACUGAGAAUAAUGCCCGACAGAACAUUAUACCUGGAACGGUUUAUGUUUCAAAUGAUUUAUCGCCGUAGGAUGGGACUGCGGCCUAUCAGUUUGUUGGUGAGGUAAUGGCCCACCAAGACUAUUACAGGUACGGGCUCUGAGAGGAGUAGCCCGGAGAUGGGUACUGAGACACGGACCCAGGCCCUAUGGGGCGCAGCAGGCGAGAAAACUUUGCAAUGUGCGAAAGCACGACAAGGUUAAUCCGAGUGGUUUCUGCUAAAGAAACCUUUUGCUAGUCCUAGAAACACUAGUGAAUAAGGGGUGGGCAAGUUCUGGUGUCAGCCGCCGCGGUAAAACCAGCACCUCAAGUGGUCAGGAUGAUUAUUGGGCCUAAAGCAUCCGUAGCUCGUUUUGUAAGUUUUCGGUUAAAUCCAUACGCUUAACGUAUGGGCUGCCGGGAAUACUGCAUAACUAGGAAGUGGGAGAGGUAGACGGUACUCGGUAGGAAGGGGUAAAAUCCUUUGAUCUAUUGAUGACCACCUGUGGCGAAGGCGGUCUACCAGAACACGUUCGACGGUGAGGGAUGAAAGCUGGGGGAGCAAACCGGAUUAGAUACCCGGGUAGUCCCAGCUGUAAACUAUGCAAACUCAGUGAUGCAUUGGCUUGUGGCCAAUGCAGUGCUGCAGGGAAGCCGUUAAGUUUGCCGCCUGGGAAGUACGUACGCAAGUAUGAAACUUAAAGGAAUUGGCGGGGGAGCACCACAA
RNAcentral lists this ribosomal RNA (806 nucleotides) under uncultured Nitrososphaerota archaeon. Its description in RNAcentral is "bacterial SSU rRNA". It matches the Rfam family "Archaeal small subunit ribosomal RNA", at positions 77 to 884 of the family's 1478-position model. Lineage: Archaea; Thermoproteati; Nitrososphaerota. The record is from RNAcentral.